UGGCCUCAAAUCAGGUAGGAUUACCCGCUGAACUUAAGC
RNAcentral lists this ribosomal RNA (39 nucleotides) under Amyloporia xantha. RNAcentral's name for it is "partial 28S ribosomal RNA". Lineage: Eukaryota; Fungi; Basidiomycota; Agaricomycetes; Polyporales; Adustoporiaceae. The record is from RNAcentral.